AUACGUAGGUGGCGAGCGUUGUCCGGAAUUACUGGGUGUAAAGGGCGUGUAGGCGGGGAGGCAAGUCAGAUGUGAAAUCCCGGGGCUCAACCUCGGAUGUGCAUCUGAAACUGUCUUUCUUGAGUGCUGGAGAGGAAAGCGGAAUUCCUAGUGUAGCGGUGAAAUGCGUAGAUAUUAGGAGGAACACCAGUGGCGAAGGCGGCUUUCUGGACAGUAACUGACGCUGAGGCGCGAAAGCGUGGGUAGCGAACAGGAUUAGAUACCCUGGUAGUCCACGCCGUAAACGAUGGAUACUAGGUGUAGGAGGUAUCGACCCCUUCUGUGCCGGAGUUAACACAAUAAGUAUCCCACCUGGGGAGUACGGCCGCAAGGCUGAA
This 377-nucleotide ribosomal RNA is filed under the name uncultured bacterium. RNAcentral's name for it is "bacterial SSU rRNA". It matches the Rfam family "Bacterial small subunit ribosomal RNA", at positions 523 to 898 of the family's 1533-position model. The record is from RNAcentral.